GAUGAAGAACGUAGCGAAAUGCGAUAAGUAAUGUGAAUUGCAGAAUUCAGUGAAUCAUCGAAUCUUUGAACGCACCUUGCGCCUUUUGGUAUUCCGAAAGGCACACCUGUUUGAGCGUCAUGAAUACCUCAAUCUCCAUCUUUUCUUCGGAUUGAUGGGUGACUUGGAUGUUGAGCCCUGCUGGUAUGCUAUAUCAGCUGGCUUUAAACUUAUUAGCCGGCUCUGUACUGGAUCGGUUUGACUCGACGUGAUAAUAUUAUCGUUGAGGAUGCAUGUCUCAUGCAGCCGGAAAGUAUCAAAGCAGCUUCUAGCUGGCCUUUAGUGCACUUUUACAUUUUAGACCUCAGAUCAGGUGGGACUACCCGCUGAACUUAAGCAUAUCAAUAAGCGGAGGA
Molecule: unclassified non-coding RNA, 395 nt
Filed under: soil metagenome
Description: partial contains 5.8S ribosomal RNA, internal transcribed spacer 2, and large subunit ribosomal RNA
Rfam family: 5.8S ribosomal RNA (bases 1-120)
Source: RNAcentral